UGAGGAAUAUUGGACAAUGGGCGCAAGCCUGAUCCAGCAAUACCGCGUGAGUGAAGAAGGCCUUAGGGUUGUAAAGCUCUUUCAGCAGGGAAAAUAAUGAUGGUACCUGCAAAAGAAGUCCCGGCUAACUCCGUGCCAGCAGCCGCGGUAAUACGGAGGGGACUAGCGUUGUUCGGAUUUACUGGGCGUAAAGGGUGCGUAGGCGGCCUGAUAAGUUAGAAGUGAAAGCCUGGGGCUCAACCCCAGAACUGCUUCUAAAACUAUUAGGCUAGAGUAUGGGAGAGGAUAGUGGAAUUCCUAGUGUAGAGGUGAAAUUCUUAGAUAUUAGGAGGAACACCGGUGGCGAAAGCGACUAUCUGGAACAUUACUGACGCUCAGGCACGAAAGCGUGGGGAGCAAACAGGAUUAGAUACCCUGGUAGUCCACGCUGUAAACGAUGAAUGCUAGAUAUCGGAUUUAUUCGGUGUCGUAGAUAACUUGAUAAGCAUUCCGCCUGGGGAGUACGGUCGCAAGAUUA
RNAcentral lists this ribosomal RNA (517 nucleotides) under uncultured marine alpha proteobacterium BY-70. RNAcentral's name for it is "bacterial SSU rRNA". It matches the Rfam family "Bacterial small subunit ribosomal RNA", at positions 355 to 896 of the family's 1533-position model. Lineage: Bacteria; Pseudomonadati; Pseudomonadota; Alphaproteobacteria. The record is from RNAcentral.